UCGGCGUGCACUUCUCCCCUAGUAGGACGUCGCGACCCGUUGAAUUUCGGUCUAUGGCCCAAGUGGGAGCUUUUGAAUUUAUUUUCGAAAACCCUUGGUGUUUCCUGGCCGGAAUUCGGCGGUAUACGCAUGGUAUUGAGCCGCUCAUUAAUAUGUGCGUUCUUAUCCAUCGCAAGCGAGGUUAGUUACUGAUAGUUCGGACCUAGUGCCGGCGUUGGUGCUAAUCAGCUGUUGGUUGUAUGGAAUUCUAGAACUGGCUCUAUGAAAUACCGGUCAGCGAUGCUACUGCUUUGGGUACUUUCAGGACCCGUCUUGAAACACGGACCAAGGAGUCUAACAUGUACGCGAGUCAUUGGGAUUAUUUUAAAUUAAACCUAAAGGCGUAAUGAAAGUAAAGGUCUUCCUUGUGUUGACUUAGGGAAGAUGGGCUAUGUUAUGAUAUAGCUCCGCACUCCCGGGGCGUCUCAUUCUCAU
This 474-nucleotide ribosomal RNA is filed under the name Habrobracon brevicornis. RNAcentral describes it as "partial 28S large subunit ribosomal RNA". It matches the Rfam family "Eukaryotic large subunit ribosomal RNA", at positions 440 to 780 of the family's 3401-position model. Lineage: Eukaryota; Metazoa; Arthropoda; Insecta; Hymenoptera; Braconidae. The record is from RNAcentral.